Molecule: transfer RNA, 73 nt
Filed under: Oryza meridionalis
Lineage: Eukaryota; Viridiplantae; Streptophyta; Magnoliopsida; Poales; Poaceae
Description: tRNA tRNA-Val
Rfam family: tRNA
About the family: Transfer RNA (tRNA) molecules are approximately 80 nucleotides in length. Their secondary structure includes four short double-helical elements and three loops (D, anti-codon, and T loops).
Source: Rfam by way of RNAcentral
GUUGUUGUGGUGUAGUGGUUAUCACGUCAGUCUUACACACUGAAGGUCUCCAGUUCGAUCCUGGGCAGCAACA